CCUACGGGUGGCUGCAGUGGGGAAUAUUGGACAAUGGGGGGAACCCUGAUCCAGCCAUGCCGCGUGUGUGAAGAAGGCCCUCGGGUUGUAAAGCACUUUCAGUGAGGAAGAACGCCUGGUGGUUAAUACCCAGCAGGAAAGACAUCACUCACAGAAGAAGCACCGGCUAACUCCGUGCCAGCAGCCGCGGUAAUACGGAGGGUGCGAGCGUUAAUCGGAAUUACUGGGCGUAAAGCGCGCGUAGGUGGCUUGAUAAGCCGGUUGUGAAAGCCCCGGGCUCAACCUGGGAACGGCAUCCGGAACUGUCAAGCUAGAGUGCAGGAGAGGAAGGUAGAAUUCCCGGUGUAGCGGUGAAAUGCGUAGAGAUCGGGAGGAAUACCAGUGGCGAAGGCGGCCUUCUGGACUGACACUGACACUGAGGUGCGAAAGCGUGGGUAGCAAACAGGAUUAGAUACCCCUGUAGUC
Molecule: ribosomal RNA, 465 nt
Filed under: Vreelandella stevensii
Lineage: Bacteria; Pseudomonadati; Pseudomonadota; Gammaproteobacteria; Oceanospirillales; Halomonadaceae
Description: partial 16S ribosomal RNA
Rfam family: Bacterial small subunit ribosomal RNA
Source: RNAcentral